GGAAUCUUCGGCAAUGGACGAAAGUCUGACCGAGCAACGCCGCGUGAGUGAAGAAGGUUUUCGGAUCGUAAAACUCUGUUGGUAGAGAAGAACGUUGGUGAGAGUGGAAAGCUCAUCAAGUGACGGUAACUACCCAGAAAGGGACGGCUAACUACGUCGCA
RNAcentral lists this ribosomal RNA (161 nucleotides) under uncultured bacterium. RNAcentral describes it as "partial 16S rRNA". It matches the Rfam family "Bacterial small subunit ribosomal RNA", at positions 358 to 510 of the family's 1533-position model. The record is from RNAcentral.